RNAcentral lists this ribosomal RNA (468 nucleotides) under uncultured bacterium. Its description in RNAcentral is "partial 16S ribosomal RNA". It matches the Rfam family "Bacterial small subunit ribosomal RNA", at positions 28 to 507 of the family's 1533-position model. The record is from RNAcentral.
GACGAACGCUGGCGGCGUGCUUAACACAUGCAAGUCGAACGGAAAGGCCCUGCUUUUGUGGGGUGCUCGAGUGGCGAACGGGUGAGUAACACGUGAGUAACCUGCCCUUGACUUUGGGAUAACUUCAGGAAACUGGGGCUAAUACCGGAUAGGAGUUCCUGCUGCAUGGUGGGGGUUGGAAAGUUUCGGCGGUUGGGGAUGGACUCGCGGCUUAUCAGCUUGUUGGUGGGGUAGUGGCUUACCAAGGCUUUGACGGGUAGCCGGCCUGAGAGGGUGACCGGCCACAUUGGGACUGAGAUACGGCCCAGACUCCUACGGGAGGCAGCAGUGGGGAAUAUUGCACAAUGGGCGGAAGCCUGAUGCAGCAACGCCGCGUGCGGGAUGACGGCCUUCGGGUUGUAAACCGCUUUCGCCUGUGACGAAGCGUGAGUGACGGUAAUGGGUAAAGAAGCACCGGCUAACUACGUG